Molecule: ribosomal RNA, 918 nt
Filed under: uncultured bacterium
Lineage: Bacteria
Description: bacterial SSU rRNA
Rfam family: Bacterial small subunit ribosomal RNA
Source: RNAcentral
ACGCUAGCUACAGGCUUAACACAUGCAAGUCGUGGGGCAGCGGAUGCUUAGCUUGCUAAGUAUGCCGGCGACCGGCGCACGGGUGAGUAACGCGUACCGAACCUGCCCAUCACACAGGGAUAGGCUUGCGAAAGCAAGAUUAAUACCUGAUGGUCUCAGUUGUAUGCAUGUAUGAUUGAGUAAAGCCUUCGGGCGGUGAUGGAUGGCGGUGCGUCCCAUUAGGAAGUUGGCGGGGUAACGGCCCACCAAUCCUUCGAUGGGUAGGGGUUCUGAGAGGAAGGUCCCCCACAUUGGAACUGAGAUACGGUCCAAACUCCUACGGGAGGCAGCAGUGAGGAAUAUUGGUCAAUGGGCGAGAGCCUGAACCAGCCAAGUAGCGUGCGGGAUGAAGGCCCUUGUGGUCGUAAACCGCUUUUAUCAGUGAAUAAAGUGCAUCACGUGUGGUGUCAUUGCAGGUAGCUGAAGAAAAAGGACCGGCUAAUUCCGUGCCAGCAGCCGCGGUAAUACGGAAGGUCCGGGCGUUAUCCGGAAUUAUUGGGUUUAAAGGGAGCGCAGGCGGGAGUAUAAGUCAGCUGUUAAAUAUCAGGGCCCAACUCUGUUAUGCAGUUGAAACUAUAUUUCUUGAGUACGCACAGGGAUGGCGGAAUUCAGGGUGUAGCGGUGAAAUGCUUAGAUAUCCUGAAGAACUCCGAUCGCGAAGGCAGCCAUCCGGAGCGUAACUGACGCUGAGGCUCGAAGGUGCGGGUAUCGAACAGGAUUAGAUACCCUGGUAGUCCGCACGGUAAACGAUGAAUACUCGCAGUUCGGCCUUUUAGGUCGAGUUGUCCAGCGAAAGCGUUAAGUAUUCCACCUGGGGAGUACGCCGGCAACGGUGAAACUCAAAGGAAUUGACGGGGGCCCGCACAAGCGGAGGAACAU